This 278-nucleotide ribosomal RNA is filed under the name Trichococcus flocculiformis. Its description in RNAcentral is "16S rRNA. Bacterial SSU". It matches the Rfam family "Bacterial small subunit ribosomal RNA", at positions 1 to 258 of the family's 1533-position model. The record is from RNAcentral. Lineage: Bacteria; Bacillati; Bacillota; Bacilli; Lactobacillales; Carnobacteriaceae.
AUUACAUGAGAGUUUGAUCCUGGCUCAGGACGAACGCUGGCGGCGUGCCUAAUACAUGCAAGUCGAACGGUCUUUUCUAUGGAAGCUUGCUUCCACUGAGAAGAUAGUGGCGAACGGGUGAGUAACACGUGGGUAACCUGCCCAUAAGAGGGGGAUAACAUCCGGAAACGGGUGCUAAUACCGCAUAGUUUUCUUGAUCGCAUGAUCGGGAAAGGAAAGACGGCCUUUGUGCUGUCGCUUAUGGAUGGACCCGCGGCGUAUUAGUUAGUUGGUGAGGU